This 376-nucleotide ribosomal RNA is filed under the name Micrococcus luteus. Its description in RNAcentral is "partial 23S ribosomal RNA". It matches the Rfam family "Bacterial large subunit ribosomal RNA", at positions 259 to 582 of the family's 2925-position model. Lineage: Bacteria; Bacillati; Actinomycetota; Actinomycetes; Micrococcales; Micrococcaceae. The record is from RNAcentral.
GCGGAUGGGGCUAAACCGUAUGUGUGUGAUACCCGGCAGGGGGUUGCAUGUGCGGUGUUGUGGGGCCCCCUCCUUGUCAUGUCUGCCGGCAUGGCGCAGUGAGGUGCGGGGCAUAUAGACGAACAGUGUGGAUGCUGGACCGUAGAGGGUGAGAGUCCCGUAGUCGAAAAUGUGUUCCGCCGCUGUUGGGGGGGGUUGCCCCGAGUAGCACGGGGGCCCGAGGAAUCCCGUGUGAAUCUGCCAGGACCACCUGGUAAGCCUGAAUACUACCUGUUGACCGAUAGCGGAUCAGUACCGUGAGGGAAUGGUGAAAAGUACCCCCGGGAGGGGAGUGAAAUAGUACCUGAAACCAUGUGCCUACAAACCUUGGAGCCUU